This 61-nucleotide transfer RNA is filed under the name unidentified. RNAcentral describes it as "Adiscus speciosus tRNA-Glu". It matches the Rfam family "tRNA". Rfam says of the family: Transfer RNA (tRNA) molecules are approximately 80 nucleotides in length. The record is from RNAcentral.
AUUUAUAUAGUUUAUAAAAACAUUACAUUUUCAAUGUAAAAUUAGGGCCACCUUGUAAAUA